UACGAAGGGGGCUAACGUUGUUUGGAAUCGCUGGGCGUAGAGCGCACGCAGGCGGAUCGAUAAGACGGGGGUGAAAGCCCGGGGCUCAACCUCGGAAUUGCCUCCGAUACAGUCGGUCUCGAGUCCGGGAGAGGUGAGUGGAAUUCCUAGUGUAGAGGUGAAAUUCGUCGAUAUUAGGAAGAACACCAGUGGCGAAGGCGGCUCACUGGCCCGGUACUGCCGCUCAGGUGCGAAAGCGUGGGGAGCAAACAGG
Molecule: ribosomal RNA, 253 nt
Filed under: uncultured bacterium
Lineage: Bacteria
Description: partial 16S ribosomal RNA
Rfam family: Bacterial small subunit ribosomal RNA
Source: RNAcentral